UGAGCUAACACAGCCGUGUUUACAUUACACACAUUCUCAAGUUGCUGACUUUUUUUUUUUGUUCCUCCAUAAGGAAGAAGAUGCAACACAGACAAAUGAUUCUAUUUGAUGUGAUGUUAAGUCAAACUGGACCAAUGGCUGACACUUUCUACUUGGAUUAACUACGUUGUGUUCCCAUUCUUUCCAGUCAUGCUCGUUUCUUAUCAAAGUUGAAGAAACCAGUAAUUUCAGAAGAUCUGAUCUUAAAAAAAAGUCUUUCCCACCAGUCUUUUAAGCUGGCUAGAGUUUUGAAAGGCUAAGAAGCCAAUGGACUCCUUGAAUGCUAAGAACACCGCCUGAGUCCUUGGUUGUCUCCAAAUGGGAGCUGCCACUGUCAGGUUACAAAAUAGAGGAUCCUGGAAUUCCCCACAACAAUGACUCUAUCACAUGGGGGAAAUUAUUUAUGAAAAAGAAAAGAAGAAGGAUAUACACAAGGAGAAGCAGAGUUAGAGAUUCUAGGGAAGUUCUCAGAAUGUUGAGUAUCUGGGUCUAGUUGUUUAUAAAGUUCCUGUUCUGUCUCCAUCCUUUCUGAUCCUGUUGAUGUCAUUUGAUUUGGAUAUUUGUUACUUAUAAUGAAAAUGUCUUCACACAAAAGGUAAAGGAGAGGGAAUCCUGGGAGACGCCCUGUGAAUACUCCAGGUAGAGCAUUGGCAGUGAGCCCUCCAUAGAAAAGCAAUAUUGGUUCCCCAUCAGUAAUAGAAGAAAGCACAGAGCACAGCUCCUGGUGGAAGUAAUCACACCUACCCAAGUGUGGCCAGGGGUCCUGUGUGUCCACCAUCUGUGCUAAGAUGAAGCUUUCAGCUGUAACUCAGUUAUAAUGCCUUCUUUUUCCUGACUCCAUAUGCUAGUUAUCUGGGUUGGUAAUCUAUUGCUGGGUUGUGUGGGGUUCCCCCCCCCGCUUUAAUAUGUUUACAUGUAUGGAGUUUCUUCUAUUAGUUUCUGCAAGAUGCAGACCAGGUUUUCACAAAUCCCAACUUAAAUCCUGAAUCUGGAGCCAAGGUCAGGUAACUUUACCAACCUUAUUAUGUGCUGGGCACUGUAAUUUGCAUACAUUGCCUCAUUUAAUCCAUUUAAGGUUUUUAUGAGGUAGGUACUGAUAUUCCAACUAUUUUACAGAAGGAGAAACAGGUGAGGAAGGGUCAUAGAGCUAAAAAGCGCUGGUAUCAUAAUUGAAACCCAAGCAAUCUCAUCCUUAUCUGUAUUGUUAGGCUAUGAAUAAAGUACCAGACAGUAGCCCUGAGAAAGUACUAGGCUUCUUGAGCUUAGUUACCAGCAAAGCCCCCAUUCUAACCUCAUCCAUUCUGUUGCAUUCCCCGUGACCAUCCUUAAUCUAGUUUGAGCUGUUAUAUUUUUUUGGCUAUUUUCAACUUCCAAUCCCAGAAAGCUUGACUAAGAAGAGAACGGAAGAAGACUUUGGGAGGCUUGUAUGCAUACUUAAGGUGGAGAGGUGAGCACCAGCUGCAAGGCAAAAGAAGGGAGAUUUCUUCCUGUGAGUGACUAGGUGGGGCAAGAUGGAAGACCUCUAAGGACCUUAUGCAUGUCAGGAGGUGGCUGAAAUUCCCUGACAGCUCAGAACAGUUUGCUUAACGUAACUUUGCUGUCAGAAAAGAAGAAAAUUUGAGAAAGUAUUUGAAGAGUAUUCCCAACUCAGUAGGUGAGUAGAAGCUGUGAACUAAGGGGAGGAAAUUAUGUAUACAUGCAUUAAAACAUUACAUUGUAUCCAUACAUAUGUGCCAUUAUUAUGUAUCAAUUAUUAAAAAAACUAAAGCUUUUAAAAAAGGAGAAAAUAAAUGUGAAUAAAUACUUUACCUUCAUGAGAACAAUGAGUGAAGAAACAGGAAUUUGACAACAGAACUCUAAGGAAAAAGGAAAAGGAAAGUGAUGAAGUGAUAAGGGAAGUAUAGCAGUAUGGAAACUAGAUCUUAGAGACCAAAGUAUGCACAGUAAACAUUCCAAUAAAGAGAAAACAGUGAAGAUUUGGCAAGGAGAAACAUCAAUAAAUGAUAGAAGAAAACUGCUGGGUAAUAAAGAUGGUAAGGAAACAGAAAAGAAAAAAUGACAGAAAGAAGGACUCCUAUGACAGAUUUACAUUACAAGGAAAAAAAUCACUCAGAUUCGUUUAAAGUAAAUUGAAUGUUGAUAAGAGACCUAAUCAAGGCAAAAGGACAAAUGGAUUAAACAUAAAAUAAUGGCCAGCAAUAUAUUAGAAAACAACAUACCGAAAGAAAUCAGUUAGCUGACCUAGAGCUCAGAUAAAGUGGAAAAUGAGACAAAACACUUUUUCACCCAUGUCUGUUCACCCCUAGGCCAAAAGCUUUCAAGCAGGUCAUUCCAAAGGGUCAAAGAAUCCAUUUGUAAUGAAAAUAUGGGAUCAUGAAUUUGUAUGUUGUGAAUACUGCUCCAACUUAGAAAUCAGAGGACAAAUUAACAACAAAGCUGUGCUAGAUUUGAAUAUAGCACUAUGAAUUUAUUACAGUUUAAGUAGACAAUAAUAAUAAAAUGAAAUAGGAAAACAUGAGUAAGUACCGAGGGAACUAGGGUAAGGAACAAGUUGAAUUUUUAUGUUAGUGAUCCUCUUUAUGUGCUUACAGAUAAGGCAUCUUCUUUUCAAGUGUCCUUAGAAUGCUCAUAAACAUCGAAUUACCCCAUUCUGUGCCAUAAAGAACAUCUCCAUAAGAACACCCCCAAGGACCAAACAGAAAGUGUACUGACUACAGCGUCUGACCCAAAAGCUUUAAUGAAAAAUAACUCAUAAAACACUGAGUUAUUAGACAAGGCCCUCGGUGAACUCCUCGCCUCUCUGUGCAGACUGUCACGGUCUUGGCUUAGAGGACAGGAGUUUUGUACUUUGUGCUGUUGUAAUUUUCACAACAAGGGGAACAAUAUGAAAUAAUAGACCCCAGCAGGGGAGCACAGAAAUUUACUGCAGGCAACUUUAUGUUAGCUUUUAAAAAGAAGGAAAUAUAUCAAUGAUUAAAAAAAUAGAACUAUGGAGGCAGAAAGGAUGUUAAGCCAUCAUUCUGUCUGACUCUCAUCUUGCAGAAGAGGAAAUAGAGACCUAGCGACUGCGAGGAUGUGUGUCCCAGGUCGGGCAGCAAAUAAAAUUUGGCCAGUGCCUGAGUCUCCUGGUGGGUUCUAAGUUCUGUUCCUUUCCCUGCUUUAGGAGUUUGUCAUGAUGCGAGGAUGCAGAGUAUGUGGCGGGUUUGGAUUACGUGAUUGGUUCCAGAUCUGAGUGACUGUUGUGUGCUCAUCUGCCCGGCAGAACUGAGACUGGCUCCCCAGGGCACUUCUUGGAGCCAGAGCCUCUGCCCCUGUUGUGAGGGGAGUCAGAGCAAUGUGGUUGUUAUUACCAGAAUCACAGGCUUUCCACCUCUGCUGGGUAACCUGCGAAACAACCUCUGACAUCAUUAAACGCUGAAAUCGCUGGACUGUAAACGUGUGUUAGGGGGUGUUUUCUGGAACGCUCUCAUGACCUCUUUUUGUCGAGGCUCAUUUUGUUUUUAUUCUUCCCCAGGAUCUGACUGGCCUCUCACGCUUUCUGUCCUCCAUCACCAGCACCCGGG
Molecule: long non-coding RNA, 3602 nt
Organism: Callithrix jacchus (white-tufted-ear marmoset)
Lineage: Eukaryota; Metazoa; Chordata; Mammalia; Primates; Cebidae
Source: Ensembl